AUGAGAUUCCUCUGGCGCUCCCGCCUCGCCGGCCGCCAAUCCCUCCCGAGCACCUCCUCCCCAAUCCCCUCCUGCGCCUCCUCUUCCAAUCCCGUGACGAUCUCCUCCCCCAAUAGCUCAUGCCUGCCUUCCACCCCGAGCUCCGCCUCGUGCGUCUCUCUCUCUCGGUUCAGCAGCAGGUCUGCAGCCCUGUGCGUGGUGGAGCUGCACAAGGUAUCAUCGCUGAGGUGCAGGCCGGUGGAGUUCUUCGCGGGAGACCCCAUGUCCCUGGUUGCCCUGUCAAUCCUGUCGUAGAUGCCGCCGAUUUCUAGCUCUUUCUGCAAGCCACUUGGGAAAUUAUGCGGUAGGAAAAGAAGGAAAAUCUUGUGUUUGGAGAAGAGACAUUCCAUGGGAAUUUGUUGGAAAUUUGAGCAACUCAGGGAGGAAUAGUGUGUUGGUGGCUCCCGGAGUAAGAAGAUGUUCACGGUGCGAACAACAAAUUACAGAGGCUGGUCUUCUUUUCUCUCAUUGGUUCCUUGCCUUUCCCUUGCAUAGUUGGGUAUUUCUCUUUUGUAUAUUGUUCAAGAGCAUGAUGUUUUGAUUGUUUAGGUUCUGAACCUGGACCAAAAAGUACAUCCCCGCUCUUAGUCUAAUGGCGUAACUAUGCCAGGUUUGGCAGCCAACGCUGCUGUCAACUACCAUGGCGCCACUGUUGCUAUCGUCACCGUCAAUAAUAAGUCCACCUCCUGAUUCUGUUUAGAUAUGCCAGCAAGGUGUUCGACAAAAGUCGAGGCGGGAUUUCACUCAAUUGAUAUUUCUGUUGGGAAAAUAUGAAAAGGUUCUGGAGAACUCCGUCUACCAGUUUCUAUGGGUCGUACAAGGCGGACCUUCAAGCAAAUAAUUUGGCGGGCCAAGCUAGCAAAGUUACUUAGGACGCGGGGCUCAGUGGUCAGCAUGGACGUCGCCGUCAUCGGUUCUCCUUGUCUUCAGACCUGAAGUUUGGCUCAGAUUUCGAAACAAUGUAAGACCAAAGCAAUUCAUAUACAGUGGAAACUUAUGAAGAUAAAUCAUGGCAAGUAUAAGCUAUAUAUACAGAACAUCCAUUGGAGAACAAUUUCAUGCUUACGAACAGGUGGAAUGUACAACACCUCAAAGUGAGCUUCUUCUCUUCUUAAUUAAUCCAGAUCCAGGUGCAAAUCGUUGAUGAGUGCCCAGAUUUCAAUGAGUGCUCAGAUUUUUGCUUAUGGUAGGUACUGUCUUGCUUUUGAAUAUUGUUGCAGAUGAAGUACUAAAAUCAAUGUAGCAUUAUCAAUUAGGUAUUGUUAGUAUCUAUAGCAGUAGCUGGUGAGAACUAAAUCUACGAGAGAGAGCAAGUACUGUUUACUCUACAAAGGUCUUUUAAUCAGUGAGUUAUAUAUUUUUGAUAGAUAUACACAUGAUGCACCUGUUUUUGCUUAAGAUAGGUUCUCACUUGCUUUUGAAUAGUUGAUGCCAACCUCUUCCAUUAUGGAGGAUUUUCUUCAUGGCUAUUACUACAGUUGUUAGACUCAAGCCUUUCUUGUCUUGAUACCUCAAAAUAAUUUUUAUUUCCCAUUGUUAGCAUAUGCUCUGCCUUUGGUAGGUACUGUCUCCUAAGAAGUAGUUUUUUCGCCAUGCCCUCAUGUAUAUUUGUGUUACAAAUUCAGUGCCUUUGUGUGUUUCAGAGCGUGUUUCCGCUGAAGUCAGGUGUUUGCCUUUUCUCCACCCUGUACUUUUUGUUUACCUAGAUGUUUGCAUGUUCUGUUUCUAAAGGAUAUUUUUCAUGUUUUGUGUUGGUUGGGUUCUUUUCAUUUUAUUCCUUCCAUACCACAUGGUGUUCUACCUACUCUUCCUCUAUUCAUUUGUUGUGAUUGGUUGCUUCACAGUGCCAUUUGCCCUCCCAUUCCUACCAAUGUCCAAGGUGGUGGUGAUGUUUCUGCCCUUGGAGGUGUUGCUGAUCUCAAGUUACAAACCUAGAUAAACUGUUGACUCUAUUCAUGUGUCCAUAAUCUCCAUGAAAGUUUCCCCGCUCAUUGGUUUAUUUCUAGAUUAUUAGUUCUUCAUGUGUGUAUGGACAAUGUUGUCAGCAAUAUUGCAAAUAGUUCAGAUGAUAUCCCGAAUUAAGGUUCGCUUGAAAUUGUCAAUGUGCACCUCAUCUCUGUUCUUUUAUGGUUGGGGUAUCUGUUCUUCUGCACAUAGACGAAUAGGAUCUAAUCAAAUGUUUAAUUAGAGGUAUUUAUUGGUGGACUAAUGAAAGAGCUGAUUCAAGUUGUAGCCCUGUUGAAAGGAUGAAAGAAUUCAGGUUGUGGCCCUGUUGAAAGGAUGAAAGGAUGCACAGGUUAUUGCCCUGUUGAAAGGAUCAAAGGAUUCAGGUUGUAGCCAUGUUGAAAGGAUGAAAGUAUUCAGGUUGUAGCCCCUAUUCUCUGCUUCGUGAACUGAUGAAAGACUGCCCAAGCAGCACACCAUUCAAGUUGUAGCUCAAUUGGCGAUUUAUAGAUCUAUAGCCAAGUUUGCAUCGUGCAGGUGAAUGAAGAGUUUUAGAACCCAGAGAUCCUAAGAAACUACUGAAAUGACAUGGUUUGGUGGUGUGCUAUGCCGAAUUGUCCAUAGGCAGCCUAUAUAGAUGUUACUUUUUCACUUGUGUUGCUCUUGAUAGAACCAUCGAGCAUUUGUGU
Long non-coding RNA from Lolium rigidum, 2672 nucleotides. RefSeq lists it as uncharacterized. The transcript is spliced from 6 exons. The record is from RefSeq and is a predicted model, not a curated record. NCBI's taxonomy places the organism in Eukaryota, Viridiplantae, Streptophyta, Magnoliopsida, Poales, Poaceae.